GAUGAAGAACGUAGCGAAAUGCGAUAAGUAAUGUGAAUUGCAGAAUUCAGUGAAUCAUCGAAUCUUUGAACGCACAUUGCGCCCCUUGGUAUUCCGAGGGGCAUGCCUGUUCGAGCGUCAUUAUCACCCCUCAAGCUCAGCUUGGUGUUGGGGCCUGCUGCACUGGCAGCCCUUAAAAUCAGUGGCGGCGCCAUCUGGCUCUAAGCGUAGUAAUUCUUCUCGCUAUGGAGUCCUGGUGGAUGCUUGCCAUCAACCCCCAAUUUUUCUAUGGUUGACCUCGGAUCAGGUAGGGAUACCCGCUGAACUUAAGCAUAUCAAUAAGCGGAGGA
RNAcentral lists this unclassified non-coding RNA (329 nucleotides) under soil metagenome. RNAcentral describes it as "partial contains 5.8S ribosomal RNA, internal transcribed spacer 2, and large subunit ribosomal RNA". The stretch from base 1 to 120 matches the Rfam family "5.8S ribosomal RNA", at positions 35 to 154 of the family's 154-position model. The record is from RNAcentral.